This 65-nucleotide ribosomal RNA is filed under the name Cercospora armoraciae. Its description in RNAcentral is "partial 28S ribosomal RNA". The record is from RNAcentral. Lineage: Eukaryota; Fungi; Ascomycota; Dothideomycetes; Mycosphaerellales; Mycosphaerellaceae.
UUCACAAGGUUGACCUCGGAUCAGGUAGGGAUACCCGCUGAACUUAAGCAUAUCAAUAAGGCGGA